RNAcentral lists this ribosomal RNA (138 nucleotides) under uncultured bacterium. RNAcentral describes it as "partial 16S ribosomal RNA". It matches the Rfam family "Bacterial small subunit ribosomal RNA", at positions 355 to 509 of the family's 1533-position model. The record is from RNAcentral.
UCGGGAAUAUUGCGCAAUGGAGGAAACUCUGACGCAGUGACGCCGCGUAUAGGAAGAAGGUUUUCGGAUUGUAAACUAUUGUCCACAGGGAAGAUAAAAGACUGUACCUGUGAAGAAAGCUCCGGCUAACUACGUGCC